AGGACGAACGCUGGCGGCGCGCUUAACACAUGCAAGUCGAACGGAGAAAGAGCUCGGUUUUUCUUAGUGGCGGACGGGUGAGUAACGCGUGAGUAACCUGCCCUUCAGAGGGGGAUAGCGUCUGGAAACGGACGGUAAUACCGCAUAACGUAUAUAUUGGACAUCUGAUGUAUACCAAAGGAGAAAUCCACUGAAGGAUGGGCUCGCGUCCGAUUAGGCAGUUGGCGGGGUAAAGGCCCACCAAACCGACGAUCGGUAGCCGGACUGAGAGGUUGGCCGGCCACAUUGGGACUGAGACACGGCCCAGACUCCUACGGGAGGCAGCAGUGGGGGAUAUUGCACAAUGGAGGAAACUCUGAUGCAGCGACGCCGCGUGAGGGAAGAAGGUCUUCGGAUUGUAAACCUCUGUCUUUGGGGACGAAAGAAAUGACGGUACCCAAGGAGGAAGCCACGGCUAACUACGUGCCAGCCGCGGC
RNAcentral lists this ribosomal RNA (476 nucleotides) under uncultured bacterium. RNAcentral's name for it is "bacterial SSU rRNA". It matches the Rfam family "Bacterial small subunit ribosomal RNA", at positions 26 to 518 of the family's 1533-position model. The record is from RNAcentral.